Molecule: ribosomal RNA, 274 nt
Filed under: uncultured bacterium
Lineage: Bacteria
Description: partial 16S ribosomal RNA
Rfam family: Bacterial small subunit ribosomal RNA
Source: RNAcentral
AUACGGAGGGUGCAAGCGUUGUUCGGAAUUACUGGGCGUAAAGCGCGCGUAGGUGGUCUGUUAUGUCAGAUGUGAAAGUCCACGGCUCAACCGUGGAAGUGCAUUUGAAACUGGCAGACUUGAGUACUGGAGGGGGUAGUGGAAUUCCCGGUGUAGAGGUGAAAUUCGUAGAUAUCGGGAGGAAUACCGGUGGCGAAGGCGACUACCUGGCCAGAUCCUGACACUGAGGUGCGAAAGCGUGGGGAGCGAACAGGAUUAGAUACCCCGGUAGUCC